This 208-nucleotide ribosomal RNA is filed under the name uncultured Pseudomonadota bacterium. RNAcentral's name for it is "uncultured proteobacterium partial 16S ribosomal RNA". It matches the Rfam family "Bacterial small subunit ribosomal RNA", at positions 568 to 774 of the family's 1533-position model. The record is from RNAcentral. Lineage: Bacteria; Pseudomonadati; Pseudomonadota.
CGUGUAGGCGGCCUGAUAUGUCAGAUGUGAAAGCCCUGGGCUUAACCCCAGGAAGUGCAUUUGAAACUGUCAGGCUCGAGUAGGGGAGAGGGAAGUGGAAUUCCUGGUGUAGAGGUGAAAUUCGUAGAUAUCAGGAGGAACACCGGUGGCGAAGGCGACUUCCUGGCCCUAUACUGACGCUGAGACGCGAGAGCGUGGGUAGCAAACA